RNAcentral lists this ribosomal RNA (710 nucleotides) under uncultured forest soil bacterium. RNAcentral's name for it is "bacterial SSU rRNA". It matches the Rfam family "Bacterial small subunit ribosomal RNA", at positions 64 to 767 of the family's 1533-position model. The record is from RNAcentral.
GAGCGGUAACAGGCGUAGCAAUACGUGCUGACGAGCGGCGAACGGGUGAGUAAUGCUUCGGAAUCUACCCAGUAGUGGGGAAUAACCAUCCGAAAGGGUGGCUAAUACCGCAUACGUCCUACGGGAGAAAGCGGGGGAUCGUAAGACCUCGCGUUAUUGGAUGAGCCGAAGCCGGAUUAGCUAGUUGGUAGGGUAACGGCCUACCAAGGCGACGAUCCGUAGCUGGUCUGAGAGGACGACCAGCCACACUGGGACUGAGACACGGCCCAGACUCCUACGGGAGGCAGCAGUGGGGAAUAUUGGACAAUGGGGGAAACCCUGAUCCAGCGACGCCGCGUGUGUGAAGAAGGCCUGCGGGUUGUAAAGCACUUUUAGUGGGGAUGAAAAGCCUUGGGAUGACACCCCAGGGUCUUGACCUAACCCACAGAAAAAGCACCGGCUAACUCUGUGCCAGCAGCCGCGGUAAUACAGAGGGUGCGAGCGUUAAUCGGAAUUACUGGGCGUAAAGCGUGCGUAGACGGUCAUGUAAGUCGGGUGUGAAAGCCCCGGGCUCAACCUGGGAAUUGCAUUCGAGACUGCACGGCUUGGGUGCGGAAGAGGGAAGCGGAAUUUCCGGUGUAGCGGUGAAAUGCGUAGAUAUCGGAAGGAACACCAGUGGCGAAAGCGGCUUCCUGGUCCGACACCGACGUUCAGGCACGAAAGCGUGGGGA